RNAcentral lists this ribosomal RNA (498 nucleotides) under Nakaseomyces glabratus. Its description in RNAcentral is "LSU rRNA". It matches the Rfam family "Eukaryotic large subunit ribosomal RNA", at positions 66 to 566 of the family's 3401-position model. Lineage: Eukaryota; Fungi; Ascomycota; Saccharomycetes; Saccharomycetales; Saccharomycetaceae. The record is from RNAcentral.
CAACUGGGAUUGCCUUAGUAACGGCGAGUGAAGCGGCAAAAGCUCAAAUUUGAAAUCUGGUACCUUUGGUGCCCGAGUUGUAAUUUGGAGAGUACCACUUUGGGACUGUACUUGGCCUAUGUUCCUUGGAACAGGACGUCAUGGAGGGUGAGAAUCCCGUGUGGCGAGGGUGUCAGUUCUUUGUAAAGGGUGCUCGAAGAGUCGAGUUGUUUGGGAAUGCAGCUCUAAGUGGGUGGUAAAUUCCAUCUAAAGCUAAAUACAGGCGAGAGACCGAUAGCGAACAAGUACAGUGAUGGAAAGAUGAAAAGAACUUUGAAAAGAGAGUGAAAAAGUACGUGAAAUUGUUGAAAGGGAAGGGCAUUUGAUCAGACAUGGUGUUUUGCGCCCCUUGCCUCUCGUGGGCUUGGGACUCUCGCAGCUCACUGGGCCAGCAUCGGUUUUGGCGGCCGGAAAAAACCUAGGGAAUGUGGCUCUGCGCCUCGGUGUAGAGUGUUAUAG